AGUAACGGCGAGUGAACGGGGAUUAGCCCAGCACCGAAGCCUAUCCACUCUUGUGGACAGGGCAAUGUGGUGUUUAAGCGUGAGCCUUUGAGCCACUCGUCUACUCGAAGUCCAACUCCGAUUAUGGCAUUGGAAAUUGUCCUUAGAGGGUGAUAGACCCGUCCGAGUAGAUGUGUGUGUAUUUUAGAGUGGCUCUUAGAUGCUCGCGCUUUCGAGUCGGAUUGCUUGAGAAUGCAGUCCAAAGUGGGUGGUAAACUCCAUCCAAGGCUAAAUACUGGCACGAGUCCGAUAGUAAACAAGUACCGUGAGGGAAAGUUGAAAAGUACUCUGAAGAGAGAGUAAAUAGCACGUGAAGCCGCCUGUAGAGAAGCUGGUGGAGUCAAGCUCCUUGCUCGAAUGAUUAAUAAUGAGUGAGUUGUGUUGUUUAUGGCAUUGCUGACUGGUGGAUCUGGAAAUGUUACGAUGGGUUCGCGCCCAUUCGAAGCUUUCUGGUUAGUGCUCUUUGGCCAGUCAUGCGGUGUCCUCACUUGUGUUCUAUCAUCGAGCUGCCAUCACGGUUGGUAUGUGCUUUGGUGUAUGGCGCUCAUACUGUGCUCAUGUGGGCCUUCCAGUCUGCUGGGUACAGGGUGGCAGGUCAUGCCUUGACGGUGCUCGCAUUGUCAAUGGUGUGCGAAUAAUAGCCGGGUGCCAUUGCUGUUUGUUUUACUAUUGCAUGUACCAUUCAUGGAUCUGGCUGUGUCCAUAUCAAUUGGUAGCAGUCAGUGAGA
Molecule: ribosomal RNA, 767 nt
Filed under: Urocleidoides atilaiamarinoi
Lineage: Eukaryota; Metazoa; Platyhelminthes; Monogenea; Dactylogyridea; Dactylogyridae
Description: partial large subunit ribosomal RNA
Rfam family: Eukaryotic large subunit ribosomal RNA
Source: RNAcentral